This 497-nucleotide ribosomal RNA is filed under the name uncultured bacterium. RNAcentral describes it as "partial 16S ribosomal RNA". It matches the Rfam family "Bacterial small subunit ribosomal RNA", at positions 28 to 507 of the family's 1533-position model. The record is from RNAcentral.
GAUGAACGCUGGCGGCGUGCCUAAUGCAUGCAAGUCGAGCGAACAGACGAGGAGCUUGCUCCUCUGACGUUAGCGGCGGACGGGUGAGUAACACGUGGAUAACCUACCUAUAAGACUGGGAUAACUUCGGGAAACCGGAGCUAAUACCGGAUAACAUGUUGAACCGCAUGGUUCAACAGUGAAAGACGGUCUUGCUGUCACUUAUAGAUGGAUCCGCGCCGCAUUAGCUAGUUGGUAAGGUAACGGCUUACCAAGGCAACGAUGCGUAGCCGACCUGAGAGGGUGAUCGGCCACACUGGAACUGAGACACGGUCCAGACUCCUACGGGAGGCAGCAGUAGGGAAUCUUCCGCAAUGGGCGAAAUCCUGACGGAGCAACGCCGCGUGAGUGAAGAAGGUCUUCGGAUCGUAAAACUCUGUUAUUAGGGAAGAACAAAUGUGUAAGUAACUAUGCACGUCUUGACGGUACCUAAUCAGAAAGCCGCGGCUAACUACGUG